CCUACGGGUGGCAGCAGUGGGGGAUAUUGGACAAUGGCGGAAACCCUGAUCCAGCGACGUCGCGUGAGUGAAGAAGUAUUUCGGUAUGUAAAGCUCUAUUAGCAGGGAAGAAAGAAAUGACGGUACCUCAGUAAGAAGCCUCGGCUAACUACGUGCCAGCAGCCGCGGUAAUACGUGGGGGGCAAGCGUUAUCCGGAAUUACGUGGUGUCAAGGGGGCGUAGGCGGGAAUGCCAGUCUGGAGGGAAAGGCGGGGGCCCACACCCCGGACUGCUGUGGAAACUGUGUGACUGGAGUGCAGGAGAGGCAGGCGGAAUGCGUGGUGUAGCGGUGAAAUGCGUAGAUAUUAGGAAGAACUCCGAUGGCGAAGGCAGCGUACUGGAGUGUAACUGACGUUGAGGCACGAAAGCGUGGGGAGCGAACAGGAUUAGAUACCCUAGUAGUC
This 443-nucleotide ribosomal RNA is filed under the name uncultured bacterium. Its description in RNAcentral is "partial 16S ribosomal RNA". It matches the Rfam family "Bacterial small subunit ribosomal RNA", at positions 338 to 795 of the family's 1533-position model. The record is from RNAcentral.